Molecule: long non-coding RNA, 262 nt
Filed under: Lathyrus oleraceus (garden pea)
Lineage: Eukaryota; Viridiplantae; Streptophyta; Magnoliopsida; Fabales; Fabaceae
Description: Pisum sativum (pea) long non-coding RNA (PSAT_LNC015647)
Source: RNAcentral
AUUUCCAUAUGCAUGAGACUUACGGUGUUAAAACAAUAUCGAUCUUGUGAACUUUUCCCAAGUCUCUACAAACCAACCUCAAAUUAUUCUAUAGCCUAAAACUUUCAACACAAAUGCAAUUUUUUUAGAAAGAAAACAAAAACAAAACAAAACAAAGAACAAAAACAAAGAAAAUAAAGUAUUCCCUCCCCCACACUUAAAAUAUGCAUUGUCCUCAAUGAAAGAAACAAACAUAAAAUAAGAGAGAGAAGAGAGAGGAAAG